AAUUAAUUAAUUAAUUAAUUUUAUAGGGUUUAGAUAUUUAAAAUUUUAAAUUUUGAAGUUUAAAAUUUAGAAAUAAAUAUUAUAAGUUAAAAUUAAAAUUUAGAAUUUAAAUAUAAAAUAUAAAAUAUGAAAUUUAAAAUUUAAAACUUUAAAAUUUGAAAGUAUCAAAAUUUUAAAUUUUGAUAUAAAAAUUUUAAAAUUAUAUAUAUAUAUAUAUUGAAUGUGAAUAUUAAAAUAUUGUUAUCUAGUAGUUUAAGUUUUUGUAAG
Molecule: long non-coding RNA, 267 nt
Filed under: Ananas comosus (pineapple)
Lineage: Eukaryota; Viridiplantae; Streptophyta; Magnoliopsida; Poales; Bromeliaceae
Description: long non-coding RNA (ACOM_LNC002543)
Source: RNAcentral